This 253-nucleotide ribosomal RNA is filed under the name uncultured prokaryote. RNAcentral's name for it is "partial 16S ribosomal RNA". It matches the Rfam family "Bacterial small subunit ribosomal RNA", at positions 525 to 777 of the family's 1533-position model. The record is from RNAcentral.
ACAGAGGGUGCGAGCGUUAAUCGGAAUUACUGGGCGUAAAGCGCACGUAGGUGGUUUUGUAAGUUGGAGGUGAAAGCCCGGGGCUCAACUCCGGAAUUGCCUUUAAGACUGCAUCGCUCGAAUUGUGGAGAGGUAAGUGGAAUUCCGAGUGUAGAGGUGAAAUUCGUAGAUAUUCGGAAGAACACCAGUGGCGAAGGCGACUUACUGGACACAUAUUGACGCUGAGGUGCGAAAGCGUGGGGAGCAAACAGGA